This 324-nucleotide ribosomal RNA is filed under the name uncultured eukaryote. Its description in RNAcentral is "partial 18S ribosomal RNA". It matches the Rfam family "Eukaryotic small subunit ribosomal RNA", at positions 1470 to 1796 of the family's 1831-position model. The record is from RNAcentral.
CCCUUAGAUGUUCUGGGCUGCACGCGCGCUACACUGAUGCGCUCAACGAGUUUACGACCUUGCCCGGAAGGGUUGGGUAAUCUUUUUAAAACGCAUCGUGAUGGGGAUAGAUUAUUGCAAUUAUUAGUCUUGAACGAGGAAUUCCUAGUAAGCACAAGUCAUCAGUUUGUGUUGAUUACGUCCCUGCCCUUUGUACACACCGCCCGUCGCUCCUACCGAUUGAAUGUUCCGGUGAGCUCUUCGGACUGCGCGGUCUGCAGUUUCUGCGUUCCGUGCGGAAAGUUGCGCAAACCUUAUCAUUUAGAGGAAGGAGAAGUCGUAACA